This is a ribosomal RNA of 499 nucleotides. It matches the Rfam family "Bacterial small subunit ribosomal RNA", at positions 243 to 734 of the family's 1533-position model.
AGCUAGUUGGUGGGGUAAUGGCUCACCAAGGCGACGAUCCGUAACUGGUCUGAGAGGAUGAUCAGUCACACUGGAACUGAGACACGGUCCAGACUCCUACGGGAGGCAGCAGUGGGGAAUAUUGGACAAUGGGCGAAAGCCUGAUCCAGCCAUGCCGCGUGUGUGAAGAAGGUCUUCGGAUUGUAAAGCACUUUAAGUUGGGAGGAAGGGCAGUAAGUUAAUACCUUGCUGUUUUGACGUUACCGACAGAAUAAGCACCGGCUAACUCUGUGCCAGCAGCCGCGGUAAUACAGAGGGUGCAAGCGUUAAUCGGAAUUACUGGGCGUAAAGCGCGCGUAGGUGGUUUGUUAAGUUGGAUGUGAAAGCCCCGGGCUCAACCUGGGAACUGCAUCCAAAACUGGCAAGCUAGAGUACGGUAGAGGGUGGUGGAAUUUCCUGUGUAGCGGUGAAAUGCGUAGAUAUAGGAAGGAACACCAGUGGCGAAGGCGACCACCUGGAC